UACAUGCAAGUCGAACGAGUUCUGAUUAUUGAAAGGUGCUUGCAUCUUGAUUUAAUUUUGAACGAGUGGCGGACGGGUGAGUAACACGUGGGUAACCUGCCCUUAAGUGGGGGAUAACAUUUGGAAACAGAUGCUAAUACCGCAUAAAUCCAAGAACCGCAUGGUUCUUGGCUGAAAGAUGGCGUAAGCUAUCGCUUUUGGAUGGACCCGCGGCGUAUUAGCUAGUUGGUGAGGUAACGGCUCACCAAGGCAAUGAUACGUAGCCGAACUGAGAGGUUGAUCGGCCACAUUGGGACUGAGACACGGCCCAAACUCCUACGGGAGGCAGCAGUAGGGAAUCUUCCACAAUGGACGCAAGUCUGAUGGAGCAACGCCGCGUGAGUGAAGAAGGCUUUCGGGUCGUAAAACUCUGUUGUUGGAGAAGAAUGGUCGGCAGAGUAACUGUUGUCGGCGUGACGGUAUCCAACCAGAAAGCCACGGCUAACUACGUGCCAGCAGCCGCGGUAAUACGUAGGUGGCAAGCGUUAUCCGGAUUUAUUGGGCGUAAAGCGAGCGCAGGCGGUUUUUUAAGUCUGAUGUGA
Molecule: ribosomal RNA, 581 nt
Filed under: Lacticaseibacillus rhamnosus
Lineage: Bacteria; Bacillati; Bacillota; Bacilli; Lactobacillales; Lactobacillaceae
Description: bacterial SSU rRNA
Rfam family: Bacterial small subunit ribosomal RNA
Source: RNAcentral